GCAAACUUGGUCAUUUAGAGGAAGUAAAAGUCGUAACAAGGUUUCCGUAGGUGAACCUGCGGAAGGAUCAUUAUUGAAAGACAAAACUGAAAUAGGUUGUUGCUGGCUUUUAUAAGUAUGUGCACACCUGUUUCAUUUUUCCAACCCACCACCUGUGCACCUUUUGUAAAUCUGAGAGACUUUCAAAGUAUUGACACUUUGGUUUGAGAACUGCUAUUCUUGUAGCUUUUCUUGCAUUUCUCAGAUUUAUGCUAUUUUACACACACUAUGGAUGUAUGUAUAUGAAUGAUCGAAAUAAAUUGAAACAACUUUCAACAAUGGAUCUCUUGGCUCUCGCAUCGAUGAAGAACGCAGC
Molecule: unclassified non-coding RNA, 355 nt
Filed under: uncultured fungus
Lineage: Eukaryota; Fungi
Description: partial contains small subunit ribosomal RNA, internal transcribed spacer 1, and 5.8S ribosomal RNA
Rfam family: Eukaryotic small subunit ribosomal RNA (bases 1-73)
Source: RNAcentral